UUGGAGGUUGUGCCCUUGAGGCGUGGCUUCCGGAGCUAACGCGUUAAGUCGACCGCCUGGGGAGUACGGCCGCAAGGUUAAAACUCAAAUGAAUUGACGGGGGCCCGCACAAGCGGUGGAGCAUGUGGUUUAAUUCGAUGCAACGCGAAGAACCUUACCUGGCCUUGACAUCCACGGAAUUCGGCAGAGAUGCCUUAGUGCCUUCGGGAACCGUGAGACAGGUGCUGCAUGGCUGUCGUCAGCUCGUGUUGUGAAAUGUUGGGUUAAGUCCCGCAACGAGCGCAACCCUUAUCCUUUGUUGCCAGCGAGUAAUGUCGGGAACUCAAAGGAGACUGCCGGUGACAAACCGGAGGAAGGUGGGGAUGACGUCAAGUCAUCAUGGCCCUUACGGCCAGGGCUACACACGUGCUACAAUGGCGCAUACAAAGAGAAGCGAACUCGCGAGAGCAAGCGGACCUCACAAAGUGCGUCGUAGUCCGGAUCGGAGUCUGCAACUCGACUCCGUGAAGUCGGAAUCGCUAGUAAUCGUAGAUCAGAAUGCUACGGUGAAUACGUUCCCGGGCCUUGCACUCACCGCCCGUC
This 582-nucleotide ribosomal RNA is filed under the name Enterobacterales bacterium. Its description in RNAcentral is "bacterial SSU rRNA". It matches the Rfam family "Bacterial small subunit ribosomal RNA", at positions 817 to 1398 of the family's 1533-position model. Lineage: Bacteria; Pseudomonadati; Pseudomonadota; Gammaproteobacteria; Enterobacterales. The record is from RNAcentral.